Molecule: transfer RNA, 62 nt
Filed under: Olidiana obliquea
Lineage: Eukaryota; Metazoa; Arthropoda; Insecta; Hemiptera; Cicadellidae
Description: tRNA-Gly
Source: RNAcentral
ACUUAUUUAGUAUAAAUAGUAUAUUAAGCCUCCAACUUUAAGGUUUAUAAAUAAAAUAAGUA